Dunckerocampus dactyliophorus (ringed pipefish) is the source of this 8042-nucleotide RNA transcript. It is a transcript of the gene named girdin-like, with no coding region annotated. The transcript has 37 exons. The record is from RefSeq and is a predicted model, not a curated record. Lineage: Eukaryota; Metazoa; Chordata; Actinopteri; Syngnathiformes; Syngnathidae.
GUGAGCUGCAAAUGAAUGAAGGGACACUGAGAGCUGCAGCGUCCUCCUUGCAUUGCUUUGCUUUGCUUUGCUUUGACAUGACAGGACUAUAACUAAAAAAAAAUCUUUCUGGCUGGAAUUGAAAACGUUGGAUUAUUUUGGGGCAUUUUGGCUUUCAUCAAACCACCCAGGAUUUAUUAUUCUCCCUGGAAGUUGCUGCAAGUGGAUGAUUAUUUUUUUGUUGAAAUUGUUUCGGAGGAUUAAAUCCGGUGCGAGUGUUUCGUUGUGAGCGAUUUAAGGGUUUGUUUCGGAAGAUUAAGAAAAAAAAUGUGAUUCAGCGUCCGAUGCUGUGGCGGAGCUCAGUGGGUCCAAACAGCUGUGUCGUGUCGAGACAUUCGUGGAUUAACCUUUCUUUUCCCUCCCCCUACCUCCUUGACAAUCUCCGUCAAAAAAAAGAAAAAAACAGCAGCCUUGCGCCAAAAUGCGGCUCUUUUUAAUGCAAUCAACCACAUGAGUGGAGCCAAAACAAACACUGCUAUAAUUACACCCACCACCACCCCCUCUUUUUUCCCAUAUCUGCUGAAAUAAUCCCGCUGGAAAAUAUGGAAAGUGAGGUUUUUACUCCUCUGCUGGAGCACUUCAUGCUGUCGCCUCUGGUCUGCUGGGUGAAGACUGCAGGGCAAUCCAAAGUGAAAGAUGGCAACAAACUAUCAGAAUAUGUGGAAUUAGUGGAUGGAGUCUACCUCAAUGAGGUCAUGCUGGAGAUAAACCCCAAGGCCACGGUGCAGAGGACCAACAAGAAGGUGAACAACGACCCCACGCUGCGCAUCCAGAACCUUUCCAUUCUCAUCCGGCAGAUCAAAGCUUACUAUCAGGAGACGCUCCAGCAGCUGGUGAUGAUGCCCCUUCCUAAUGUGCUGGUCCUGGGCCGCCACCCCCUCACUGAGCGAGGUCUGGAGGAGGUGAAGAAACUGCUGCUGCUGCUGCUUGGCUGUGCUGUUCAGUGUGAGAAGAAGGAAGACUACAUUGAACGCAUCCAGACUCUGAAUUUCGACACCAAAGCAGCCAUAGCGUCCCACAUCCAAGAAGUGACGCACAACCAAGAGAACGUAGUGGACCUACAGUGGUUGGAGAGUGGGGAAAUGCCUCCUGACGACCUGGAGAACCUGUCCAGGAACCUGGCCCUUCACCUCAAACAUGUGGUGGAUGAACGCGACACGCAGCUGGAGACUAUCGUGGAGCUAACCCAGGAGAGAGACUGUGUGCAGCUGUCCCCGCUGGGUCCCGGUCCGGCCCAGUCCCCCAACGGCUCCCCUAGCAUGAGGAGGACGGAGAGCCGGCAGCACCUCUCUGUGGAACUGGCCGAUGCCAAGGCCAAGAUUCGACGUCUGCGGCAGGAAUUAGAGGAAAAGAGCGAGCAGCUCCUAGACACCCGGCAGGAGCUGGAGAACAUGGAGGUGGAGCUCAAGAAGCUUCAGCAGGAGAGCUACCAGCUGCUGUCGGACGCCCGCUCGGCUCGGGCGUACCGCGACGAGCUGGACGCUCUUCGGGAGAAGGCCAUUCGUGUGGACAAACUGGAGAGCGAGCUGAGCCGCUACAAGGAGAGGCUUCACGACAUCGAGUUUUACAAGGCCAGAGUGGAGGAGCUGAAGGAGGACAAUCAGGUCCUGCUGGAGACCAAAACUAUGUUGGAGGAGCAACUGGACACCAGCCGAACCCGAUCAGACAAACUCCACCUCCUGGAGAAGGAGAAUCUGCAGCUGAAAUCCAAAAUGCAUGACUUGGAGAUGGAACGAGACUUGGACCGUAAGAAAAUGGAGGAGCUGUUGGAGGACAACCUUGUGCUUGAGAUGGCCCAGAAACAGAGCAUGGAUGAGUCUUUGCACCUGGGCUGGGAGCUGGAACAACUGUCCAAAACGCCAGAAUUGACUGAAGCCCCGCAGAAGUCUCUUGGCGAGGAGGUGAACGAGCUGACCUCCAGCCGUCUGCUGAAGCUGGAGAAGGACAACCAGACCUUGCUGAAGACGGUGGAGGAGCUCCGAGGAGCUGCCAGUCACGACAAACAGGGCAAAGUCGGCCAGGAGAACCAGAGACUCAACCAAAAACUGGAGCAGCUGGAAAGCGAACUGGCGGCCGAAAGAGAGUCGCUCCGCAGUGCCGAGUGUCUGAGUACUGACCUGAUGAAAGAGAAGGCCUUGCUGGAGAAGACUCUGGAAACCCUCAGAGAAAACUCAGAGAGACAGCUGAAAGGUCUGGAACAGGAGAACAAGCACCUUAGCCAGACAGUGUCGUCACUGCGUCAGCGCUGCCAGGUUGGCGCUGAGGCUCGGGUUAAGGACGUGGAGAAAGAAAACCGCAUCCUCCAUGAGUCCAUCUGCGAGACAACAGGCAAACUCAACAAAAUGGAGUUUGAACGGAAACAACUACGUAAAGAACUGGAAGCCAUGAAGGAGAAAGGCGAGAGAGCGGAGGAGUUGGAGAUUGUGAUGCAGAAGCUGGAAAAGGAUAACGAAAGUUUGCAGAAGAAGGUGGCCAGCUUAGGAAUCACCUGUGACAAGGUUUCUUCAUUAGAGAAGGAGAACACCGAGCUUGAGACAGAAGGCCGCCGACUCAAGAAGAAGCUGGACGCUCUCAAGAACAUGGCCUUCCAGCUGGAGGCGCUGGAGAAGGAGAACUCCCAGUUGGAGCAGGAGAACUUGGAGCUGCGGCGCUCGGCCGAGAGCUUCCGCUCAGCCGGCACCAAGGCGAUUCAGCUGGAGGCCGAGAACAGGGAGCUGGAGAGUGAAAGGAGCCAGCUGAAGCGCAGCCUGGAGCUCCUCAAAGCAACCUCCAAGAAGACCGAGAGAUUAGAGGUGAGCUACCAGGGCUUGGAUACGGAGAACCAGCGUUUACAGAAGGCGUUAGAGAACAGCAGCAAGAAGAUCCAGCAAUUGGAGGCGGAGCUGCAGGAAGUCGAGUCUGAGAACCAAACCCUUCAACGUAACCUGGAGGAGCUGAAGAUCUCCAGCAAGCGCCUGGAGCAGCUGGAGCAGGAGAACAAGACGUUGGAGCAGGAGAGCUCCCAGCUCGAGAAGGACAAGAAGCUCCUGGAGAAGGAGAACAAGCGGCUGAGGCAGCAGGCCGAGAUCCGGGACUCCAAGCUGGAUGACAGCAACCAGCGCAUCUCUAGUUUGGAGAAGGAGAACCGCACCAUGGGCAAGGAGAUGAUAUUUUUCAGGGACUCGUGCACUCGGGUCAAAGACCUGGAACGGGAGAACAAGGAGCUGGUCAAACAAGCCACCAUCGAUAAGAAGACCUUCAUCACGCUCAGAGAGGAGUUGGUGAGCGAGAAGCUACGCACUCAGCAGACCAACAACGACCUGGAAAAACUCACCCACGAGUUGGAGAAGAUUGGGCUGAACAAGGAGCGGCUGCUGCUCGACGAGCACUCUGACGAUAGAUUUAAGCUCCUGGAAAGCAAACUGGAGUCGACUCUGAAGUCCUCGUUAGAGAUCAAAGAAGAGAAGAUCGCCGCCCUGGAGGCCAGACUGCAGGAGUCGUCUAACCUUAAUCAGCAACUUCGGCAGGAGCUCAAGACAGUGAAAAAGAACUAUGAGGCUUUGCGGCAGAGGGAGGAGGAGGAGAGGAUGGUCCAGAGCUCGCCUCCUAGAGGAGGGGAGGACCCACAGGCUGUCAGUAAAUGGGAGAAGGAGAGUCACGAGGCUACCAGAGAGCUGCUGAAGGUCAAGGACAGACUCAUAGAGGUGGAGCGGAACAAUGCCACGCUGCAGGCUGAGAAAGCGGCGCUGAGGAGCCAGCUCAAACAACUGGAGACGCAGAGCUCCAACCUGCAGGCUCAGAUUGUGGCCGUGCAGAGACAGACAGCCUCCCUGCAGGAGAACAACACCACCCUGCAGACACAGAACGCCAAGCUGCAGGUGGAGAACUCCACCCUGAGCUCGCAGGGCACCACUCUCAUGGCCCAGAAUGCUCAGCUCCAGAGCCUGCAGAGCAGCAUGGAGGGCGAGCGCGAAGGGGCGCUGAGGGAGAAGGAGGAGCUCCGAUCCACUUACGAGCUCCUCCUCCGCGACCACGAGAAGCUGGCAGCGCUCCACGAGAGGCAGGCGGCAGAGUAUGAGGCCCUCAUCGGGAAGCACGGCGGCCUGAAGAGCUCUCACAAGAGUCUGGAGCAGCAGCACCGAGACCUGGAGGACAAGUACAAGCAGCUCCUUCAGAGGAAAGGAGAUCUGGAGGAGCUGGAGAAGAAUCUGAAGGAGCAACAAGACAAAAUGACCUUGGAGAACCAGAGCCACAGAGCCACAGCCAACCAAUGUAAACUGCUCAAAGACGAAAAUGACAGACUAAACACAACAUACCACCAGUUACUGAAGGACAACGAGAGCCUCCAAGUGGAUCACAAGAACAUCAAGAGUCAGCUGAAUGGCGCCAAGCUGGAGCAGACCAGACUGGAGGCUGAGUUCUCCAAGCUAAAGGAGCAGUACCAGCAGCUGGACAUCACCUCCACCAAGCUGACCAACCAGUGUGAGCUGUUGAGCCAGCUGAAGGGCAACCUGGAGGAGGAGAAUCGUCACCUGCUGGACCAGAUCCAGACCCUGAUGCUUCAGAACCGCACCCUGCUGGAGCAGACCAUGGAGAGCAAAGACCUGUUCCAUGUAGAGCAGAGACAGUAUAUAGACAAGCUGAAUGAGCUGAGGAGACAGAAGGAGAAGCUGGAGGAGAAGAUCAUGGACCAGUACAAGUUCUACGACCCCUCACCUCCACGCAGGCGUGGCAACUGGAUCACUCUGAAGAUGAAGAAGCUGAUCAAGCCCAAAAGCCGGGAGAGGAUGCGCUCGAUCACGCUGACUCCGUCACGUUCUGAUUGCAGCGACGGUUUCCUGUCUUUCCCGCCCGACAGCCAGGACAGCUCAUCUAUCGGCUCCGGCUCCAACUCGCUGGAUGACACGCUCACGCAAAAGAGGAGCAGCAGGAGGAGAGGGCAGCGGUGCCUUGCCCAAGAGCAGGGCUCCACCAAUGCUUUAAAAAGGUUGCCUUUCAUGAGGAACAGAUCGAAGGACAAAGACAAGGCCAAGGCCAUCUACCGACGCUCCAUGUCCAUGAACGACCUGCUGCAAACUAUGGCGGUGGCCGGCGGGCCUGGCGCCGAAUGGGCUGGCAGCUCAGAGAACCUGGAUGGCGCUGAGGCGGGAGAUGUGGAAGGAGGGCGUCGGGGCGGCCAGCGCAUGAAAGAGCUGGCCUUUUCCACCAACGCCAUUGACUGUGCGGCGCUCACGCUGCCCUCUGCUGGACAUAGGAAGGCCAAACAGAGACUCCAGAUCAAAGAUAACGUCUCCUGUGAGGAUGUUGCCGCUUCCUCGGACGACCCAAAGAGUCAAGCCUCCAGACCCUCCAGUUUCCAUAGCAACAGGACCACCAGUAGUAAUAGUAACAAUAACUCCCAGCUCACCUCUCCCCUCGAGGGCAAAGGCACGUUGAACGGGAGCCUGAGUCGUCCUCACAGCGAGAGCAGCGGCGAGUUCAGCCUGAGUUUGGACCAGGAGGCGUGGUCCAGCAGCGGCAGCAGUCCCGUCCAGCAGCCUUCGUCCUCACGCUCCUCCCACCAGAGCCCGGUGCCCCCCCGCUGCACUCUGGAGCCACCGGGCACCGCCACGGGAAUCCCCGCUCCGCUUCAGAUCAGGAAGACGGCGUCCCCGGGCAGCGAGGUGCUUUCUCUGCAGCAGUUCCUUGACGAGGGCAUCGACCCUGCGGAGUCGGGCAGCCAGGAGAAUCUGACCGUGGACUCUCCUCGCCUCUCCACGUCUUCUGACCGCACCCCAAAAGAGCGCCCGACCACCAGAGGGCGUGGCAUCUUACGCUCCUCCAGCGGGAAAGCGGCGCCGGCCAGCGCAGAUCGCCCGCCCAGAUCUUCGGGGCAACCGGGACGCCCGACCUUGCGCAAGGCGGAGAGCACCCGUGUGAGGGGCUCAGCCCGGCCCAGCCUGUCCUUGCAGGGCAAGGCCACGUCGGUGUCGGAGCGUCUAGACUCAGCCUCUUCCACGUUGCCCCGCGCCAGCAGUGUCAUCUCCACGGCCGAGGGCAGCUCGCGGCGCACCAGCAUCCACGACAUGCUGUCCAAGGACAGCCGCCUGCCCGUGUCCGUUGACGCGUCACCUCCUGUUGCUACCAAGCCUGGAGUUCGUGCCCAUCCCGCACCCAGUGAGUACCACCCAAAGGGACCCUCUAGCGCCACCAUGCCCAAGUCGGUCAGCUUACCCUGCCAUAGCUCGGAUGACCCCGACCUCCCCACCCUUGAGUCUUUCCUUGGGCCCUCCUUCACUGCAGAGUCGGUCUUCAUGGACUCCAUCUUUAGCGAGUCGGCGGACAAAAACCUCCCCUUCCUCUCCCUCAACCCCACCCUGGUCAGCAACAUCAGCGGACCCCCCGUCGCUAAGUACACCUCCAGCCAUAACCAGACGACUCAGCAGAGCCAAUCAGAUGGUCUAAUGAGGUCCGGCCCCGCCUAUCAGGGUCCUGAGGACGCGGACCAUUUGGAUCCGGAGGAGAACCAGUCGCUGUGGUUCGAGUACGGGUGUGUGUGAAGGAUGGAGGGGGAGGUUCUGGCCCGCUGACACACACUCACAGAACUUGUGCAUGAAUAUUUAUCACAUCACUGUCUCUUGUGUGUGGGGGGGUUCUGUUUAUUCUGUUCUGUUGGUUCCAUGGUGCUGGGGGUGCCUUUAUUUGAUGUUAUUUUCAUUUCGGGGGGUCCUGGUGCCUGUUCCUCGCCAUCCCUGAUAUUGCUUUGAACCUGACUAUUGGCUAUUGUUUCAGUUGAUAGCCUGGUCCCAGCCAGCGGCUUUGAACACAACACCUGCAUGCCGGCCAUCUUUCUUUUUAAUGGAUUUGUUCUGUGGUUGUACGUUGUUUCCUUCGGAAGUGGGCUUCUUCUCUUGAUGGGGGCUGAAAUGAUGUUGGCUUCGUGGCUGAAGGGGGAAGUGAAAAUGAAGGAAAAGCAAGUUUGUAUGAAGGGAGGUCAUGAAAGUGUGCAGACGUGAUGCUGAGGAUUGUACACACACGCUAAUUUAUCAUCUCGCAAAGACGAGCACUGCUUCCUGUGCUAGACUUGUAGAUUGUUUGUUUAUUUAUUCCCUCUAGUUGUUGUUAUCAAUUUGUGUGUGUGUGUGUGUGUGUGUGUGUGUGUGUGUGUGUGUGCAGAUUUUACACUCAUAUUGCUUUGUCCCACAGAUGUGGAGGGCAGAAAGUCAAAAAGCAGGAGUGGCGAGCCCCAGCCGCCAAGCUGCUAAGCCCCGCCCACGUCUUCCCCUGCUGGGAGUGCGUGCAAGCGAGGCGGCCUUGGAGUGUCUGAAGCCGAGUAGAGAGCGGCGAUUCAAGCAGCGAGAGGGGAAAAAAAAAAGAUUGUAAAAUCCUCGUUUAUUUCUUCCCGCUCCUCCAGUAGAGAAAAUUCGCUUCCUUCUCCGUUUUGUUUUUCUUCCUUGAAUCAAGGAAACAGACGAAGAUGCCCCAGUUAUUCCCCCGCCCCUUUUUUUUUGUUUGUGGCAGACCACACUGCCAUGUGUUCUUCAGCGUGAUGGACUGUGAUGAUGCACGACACUUUCUAAAAAUAAAAAGACAAUUUAAGUGCCAAUGUUCAAAUCACAGCCAAAAACAAGAUAAAAAGGAGGAUGAUUCUGUUGGAACAACACAAUGGCGGCAUGGUGCAAGUCUUACAUGCUUCCAACUGGAGAAUGACAAUGUGCAUGGAGCAAUCAGUGGACCAAUCAGCACACUCAAAAUGACUGCAUAAGCCAUGACCGUUGCGUGUGUACUGUAUGUAUGUGUCAUCUUAACUCAUGUAACAAUAGCAGUAAGUAAGUCAGUUCUCAUCUUACUCUCACAGAAAGCACACACACACACACACACACACACAUUCUUUCUGUUAGCCAACCUUCAGGAGUGUCUAGCUGAACUUUGACCUGCAGAUCGUUAUUGUUGCUGUGAAGACGAACACAAUGGCGCUGAAGAGUUUUCCUCCUUUUCCACUUUUACAUAAAUCCAUGUGCUGUCAUUAAAAUUCAUCAAGAGCA